UGACAGCCCUAGAAAUUGAACUUCUUUAUUUAUUGACAGCCUACAUACAGCAUAGACACUGCAAGUGUCUUUCACUGCUAAACCAACAUACUUUUUACCUGGAAGGAAGAAACUAUUUUUCUGGAGGCGAUAGAAUUUAUUCACCAUAUCCAGUUUUCUUUGGAUUAU
Molecule: small RNA, 168 nt
Filed under: Calidris pygmaea (Spoon-billed sandpiper)
Lineage: Eukaryota; Metazoa; Chordata; Aves; Charadriiformes; Scolopacidae
Description: TUC338 (ENSCPGG00000002212.1)
Source: RNAcentral